GGAGGGUAUAGCUCAAUGGUAGAGUGUGUGCUUAGCAUGCACAAGGUCCUGGGUUCAAUCCCCAGUGCCUCCA
RNAcentral lists this transfer RNA (73 nucleotides) under Vicugna pacos (alpaca). Its description in RNAcentral is "tRNA-Ala (AGC) (tRNA-Ala-AGC-282-1)". It matches the Rfam family "tRNA". Rfam says of the family: Transfer RNA (tRNA) molecules are approximately 80 nucleotides in length. The record is from RNAcentral. Lineage: Eukaryota; Metazoa; Chordata; Mammalia; Artiodactyla; Camelidae.